ACCGCAAAACCCUAACCCUCGUCAUGAAUAGACUGGGCUCUCGACGGGCGUUCCUGGCCAAAGCUCAGCUGGCGGCGCUGGAUUUGCUCUCGAUUUCGCCCUCCCGCUCUUCUAGGAGAUACUUGCACGCACUACCGUUUGCUUCAGUAGCUGUUGAAGACAUUUCAAGUUCUAAUCCUGCCGAAUUACAGAACUUACUGCAGGGU
RNAcentral lists this unclassified non-coding RNA (206 nucleotides) under Hevea brasiliensis (rubber tree). Lineage: Eukaryota; Viridiplantae; Streptophyta; Magnoliopsida; Malpighiales; Euphorbiaceae. The record is from RNAcentral.